Long non-coding RNA from Panthera uncia (snow leopard), 1743 nucleotides. RefSeq lists it as uncharacterized. The record is from RefSeq and is a predicted model, not a curated record. The transcript is spliced from 2 exons. NCBI's taxonomy places the organism in Eukaryota, Metazoa, Chordata, Mammalia, Carnivora, Felidae.
GUAGCUGUCAAGCUUUGAGCCUGACACGUGAGGAACCAGGAACGCGGAACACGCUCAGGAAACAUUAGGACUAUACUAUCUUGGCGAUGAGCAGGGGGAGACCGCAGCCAGCCAACUUGUGCGCGGCGGCCUGACCGGCCGCUUUCCCUUUAAGCACCUGCGCGCCCAUCCCGCGGAGGGAGCGGCGCGAGGCUCAAGCGCGCUGCCAAGCACUCAGAUUCCUCCGCCGAGCGCGCUCCCGUCUUCCCCAGAUUUCCUCCUUCCGCUCCCGCCCGCGGGCUUCGGGGCUCCGGGUUCGCACUUCCCCCCGCCGCUAGUUCCGGUGAGCCCGCCCACCGGCCUUCGGCCCUGGGACUAGACCCGGCCCGAGCCGCGGGGCCGCCCCGCGAGGACCCGCUGCCGGGAUCCGUUCUCCGCCCCCCUUCCCCGAGGCCGACACGCACUUCCGGCGACGCGGCGGCUGGGACCGAGCAGGGAGGGGAGCGGGGCGGCGGGCGGUGACGGAUGCCCUGAUGGUCAGGAUGCGGGACCUCCUGACCCCGAACUAUGCGCUGCGCGGGGAGCGCCACGAGCUCACGGACCGGGUGCGGCGGCGUCUGUGCGAGACGGCCAAGCUGCUGGCCUAGGUGCGUGCGUCCGCCCGCCCGCCUGCCUGCCCCAUGCCCGAAAUGUUUAAUGUAAUUCCUCCCGGCUUCCCGACUUUUUAUCGAAGCAGCCUCUUCCUUGAGGUUCUUCGAGGCCAGAUUCUCCAGCGACACCGUGAAGGUGGUAUUUCUAAUCAGCCGCCUCACUGGGGCGGCCGAGGAGUGGGUAGUAUCCUACAUCGAGAGGGAGAGCCCCAUCCUGGCUCAUUAGGACGCUUCGUGGACGCGCCGGAACGGGCCGUUGGCCGGAAUGAGUAGAAAAGAAGGCUUCGAGCCUCUUCCCUCGGCUUUGGUUCCGGAGAGCUCUCUAGUGGCCAGCUGCUGGGCCCCGUCCCUCGCUUGGAAGCUUGUCCGCCUCCUGUUCUGGCCAGCCCCACGGCCUUUGUACCCUGCCCAGCUGUCAGAGGAGACCUGUUAGAAAUUGAACAGGCCCCCCAGGAUCACCCUCUGCCACCUGCCGUCUCUGAAGAUUGCCGCUGACCGCCUUUGAAAAUCAGGGCCAACCUAGGAAGUGCCUGGGUUUGUCACACCUCUGUAGAGACUGAUUCUCUGAUUCUGGAUAGCUCAGGCCAGGAGACAGCUUGUAGGGUUAGUGAGCCUGGCAGCCAAGUUGACAUUUCUCCCGCAGGAACCAGCUUUCCAUACUGGUUCCAUGCUUCAUUUCUGUUCCGAAACCACAAGUCUCCUAGAUCGUGCCUUUUGGGCAGAGAAACCCAGGCGCUGGACACUACAUGGAAAAAGUGUUUACUUUUAAGACCUUACAUAUAAGUCUUAACAUUACCACAUGCCCAGUACUAGGUGUUAACAGGAAAGGCAGAGAUGAAGACGACAAAAUAUGUGACUUCAGGAACACGAUUUUGUCCUGAGAAAAAAUUAUUUUCCAUUUACCUGGCUUUAACUGCUAUAUCCAAGUUCUUCUGGCUAAACUGCAGUACAUCCAUGAUGGGAACAAAGGACAGAGGCAGGUGUGUGCCCAAGGACACGUGGGGGAGAGUCUAAAACAGGACAAUCCGGAACUCGUAAGAAAUCAAAUGCCACCAGCCUCACUUUAAGUGGACUUCCUCAGGAACUCUUGGCAUAAUAAAUGCUGUUUGUUUCA